Molecule: long non-coding RNA, 1491 nt
Filed under: Sus scrofa (pig)
Lineage: Eukaryota; Metazoa; Chordata; Mammalia; Artiodactyla; Suidae
Description: lncRNA (ENSSSCG00070024506.1)
Source: RNAcentral
CCCCAUCUCUGCCUCAGAGGGUGGGUCCCCUUGACUUUGACAACUUGAUCCCCUGGAAAUGUCCUACUUCCUGCUCCUCCCCAGGCCCUGCCUAGUGGGACCACGUCAUUCUCUAUUCUCAUGGACCUCUAUACCCCUCCUCUCUGAGUUCAGGUAUUCUGGUACCUGCCCACAGCAGGGAGAACAACAGACCACAUGUCCAGUCCUUGCCCAGCCCAGAUUAUGCUAUAAAGACGUUUUUUGAAAGAGAAAGAAAGAGGUGACAUUCUGUGGAGGGAUCUUAAGGGACCAGGUAUCCAGCCUCCCCAGUCUGUAGCCCCAGGUCCCCACACUGGUGUUUUUCUUCAGGUUGAGGACCUAUUCUUGGAGACCCAAGCUCCCAGCACUCCAGCCACAGACCUUCACUUGAGACUUCCUUCUCAAGACCCUCAGGUUUUUUCUUCCCUUUUAGGCCUAAUCACAUCGGGGACUCGAGGCCUCCCUUCCAGGCUUGGCAGGCAGAGUAUCUCAAGAUGAAGAGAAAGACAUUUUCCCUUGCAUGCUGGCCGCUGUUUCAUCUUCUACUACUCUUAGGAAACGCUGUAACUUCUAAUGCUAACACUACAGCCACCACCCUUGGACAAACCACAUCACCCAGGGGAACUAACACAACAGCUAUAACCUCCAGUGGGAACAUCACGACCACCUCCCUCGGACCAACCACACCGUCCAGGGGAACUAACACAACAGCUAUAACCUCCAGUGGGAACAUCACGACCACCUCCCUCGGACCAACCACACCGUCCAGGGAAACUAACACAACGGCUAUAACCUCCAGUGACACCAGCACAAGUACUGCCCCUCCAAGGAAAGAGGAGAACCUUAGCGGACAACUGACACCAUGGGAAGUUGUUCUGGUCACUCUGGCCUCGGUUGCAAUGGCUGUGAUUCUCGUCACCGGGCUUCUCUUCCAUUUCGUGAGUGCCUGAUUAUAGGGAACCCUUUUUCUAAAGGAAAGAGAGGAGGGAGGUAAAGAAGGAGCUGGAGUAGAGAGAGCAGGGUCACUGUGGGAGUAACAGGGAUGAGAAAUCAGAAAAAGACACAGAGAAAGCAGGUCAGAGCCAGCAAGCCAGAAGGUCAAAAAGCCAAAACAUAUUCAGAGAAAACUGAUGAGGGGACGUUCCGGGGGGGAGGUCGGGGGGAGGCAAAGGAAGUGAUGAGGACGGAAGAGCUGGCAAGAAGGGGACUCCUGGGACUGGAGAGCCACUGGAAGAGGAGGCAAAACUCCGAAAACUAUUCAGCCUUUUGUUUUCUAGAGAAACUCUCCAGGCCUCAGAAACCUCUUCGAUGUUAAUCUCUUACCAACUGCAUGGCCAAGCCCCUACGGGACCAGGGCAACUGCAACUGACUUCAGAGGAGACCCUUCUCCCGUAGUCAUGGAGCUGACUGGGAGGCGGGAAUAGCACUGAGCUCCCUGAAGGCAGACGCAUCACCAAUGUGUGGGGGUAGGGG